This 483-nucleotide ribosomal RNA is filed under the name uncultured bacterium. RNAcentral's name for it is "partial 16S ribosomal RNA". It matches the Rfam family "Bacterial small subunit ribosomal RNA", at positions 30 to 507 of the family's 1533-position model. The record is from RNAcentral.
AUUGAACGCUGGCGGCAGGCCUAACACAUGCAAGUCGAGCGGAUGAAGGGAGCUUGCUCCUGGAUUCAGCGGCGGACGGGUGAGUAAUGCCUAGGAAUCUGCCUGGUAGUGGGGGAUAACGUCCGGAACGGGGGCUACUUACGCAAACGGCCUGGGGGAGGAAGGGGGGGAUCCUUGGGCCCCACGCUAUCAGAUGAGCCUAGGUCGGAUUAGCUAGUUGGUGGGGUAAAGGCCUACCAAGGCGACGAUCCGUAACUGGUCUGAGAGGAUGAUCAGUCACACUGGAACUGAGACACGGUCCAGACUCCUACGGGAGGCAGCAGUGGGGAAUAUUGGACAAUGGGCGAAAGCCUGAUCCAGCCAUGCCGCGUGUGUGAAGAAGGUCUUCGGAUUGUAAAGCACUUUAAGUUGGGAGGAAGGGCAGUAAGUUAAUACCUUGCUGUUUUGACGUUACCAACAGAAUAAGCACCGGCUAACUUCGUG